Molecule: ribosomal RNA, 236 nt
Filed under: uncultured bacterium
Lineage: Bacteria
Description: partial 16S ribosomal RNA
Rfam family: Bacterial small subunit ribosomal RNA
Source: RNAcentral
GAUCCUGGCUCAGGAUGAACGCUGGCGGCGUGCCUAACACAUGCAAGUCGAACGAAGUGCUAUUAAUGAAACUUCGGUGGAUUUAAAAGUAUCUUAGUGGCGGACGGGUGAGUAACGCGUGGGUAACCUGCCUUAUACAGGGGGAUAACAGUCAGAAAUGACUGCUAAUACCGCAUAAGCGCACAGAGCUGCAUGGCUCAGUGUGAAAAGCCGAGACGGUAUAAGAUGGACCCGCG